GGUCAUCGUUGAGAAAACGAAACAGACGGUGGCC
This 34-nucleotide unclassified non-coding RNA is filed under the name synthetic construct. The record is from RNAcentral.